This 253-nucleotide ribosomal RNA is filed under the name uncultured bacterium. RNAcentral's name for it is "partial 16S ribosomal RNA". It matches the Rfam family "Bacterial small subunit ribosomal RNA", at positions 524 to 776 of the family's 1533-position model. The record is from RNAcentral.
UACGUAGGGGGCAAGCGUUGUCCGGAUUUAUUGGGCGUAAAGAGCGUGUAGGCGGCCUGGAAGGUCAGCUGUGAAAACUCGAGGCUCAACCUCGAGACGUCGGUUGAAACCACCUGGCUAGAGUCCGGAAGAGGAGUGUGGAAUUCCCGGUGUAGCGGUGAAAUGCGCAGAUAUCGGAAAGAACACCCGUGGCGAAGGCGGCACUCUGGGACGGUACUGACGCUGAGACGCGAAAGCGUGGGGAGCGAACAGG